CACGCUGUAAACGAUGGAUACUAGGUGUGGGGGGUCUGACCCCCUCCGUGCCGCAGCUAACGCAAUAAGUAUCCCACCUGGGGAGUACGAUCGCAAGGUUGAAACUCAAAGGAAUUGACG
Molecule: ribosomal RNA, 120 nt
Filed under: uncultured bacterium
Lineage: Bacteria
Description: partial 16S ribosomal RNA
Rfam family: Bacterial small subunit ribosomal RNA
Source: RNAcentral